This 468-nucleotide ribosomal RNA is filed under the name uncultured bacterium. RNAcentral describes it as "partial 16S ribosomal RNA". It matches the Rfam family "Bacterial small subunit ribosomal RNA", at positions 28 to 523 of the family's 1533-position model. The record is from RNAcentral.
GAUGAACGCUGGCGGCGUGCCUAACACAUGCAAGUCGAGCGAUUUACUUCGGUAAAGAGCGGCGGACGGGUGAGUAACGCGUGGGUAACCUGCCCUGUACACACGGAUAACAUAUCGAAAGGUAUGCUAAUACGAGAUAAUAUACUUUUAUCACAUGGUAGAAGUAUCAAAGCUUUUGCGGUACAGGAUGGACCCGCGUCUGAUUAGCUAGUUGGUAAGGUAACGGCUUACCAAGGCGACGAUCAGUAGCCGACCUGAGAGGGUGAUCGGCCACAUUGGAACUGAGACACGGUCCAAACUCCUACGGGAGGCAGCAGUGGGGAAUAUUGCACAAUGGGCGAAAGCCUGAUGCAGCAACGCCGCGUGAGCGAUGAAGGCCUUCGGGUCGUAAAGCUCUGUCCUCAAGGAAGAUAAUGACGGUACUUGAGGAGGAAGCCCCGGCUAACUACGUGCCAGCCGCCGCAGUAA